ACAAAAAAAACCUAAUGACCCGGCCCCCAACCCGGUCCCCAACCCAUUGGCGAUGCUCUUUCACCCUAGCUACCCUAAUCGAGCUCUCACCCUGGCUACCCCUGGAAGAGCUCCUCCCAUUCCCUUCGCCCUUCGCCUUCCAAACCACUUCCAUACCCUAAUCGUGUCACAAUCUUCUUCAUCUUCUUAAUCUUCAUCUUCGUCUUCAUACUCUUCCUCUCUUUCUCGUUCUUCGUCCGUUCUUUCUGGAUCUCUCUGUUCACCUUCGAAUUCCACAAAUUAAAUUUCGAGCUCCACCAAACAUGGGCGACGGCAAGGUCAAUCUCCCCGACGAUCUCUUCUCCUCCAACCCCUCCGAUUCCAAAGGAACUAUCCUCUGUUAAUGGCUACAUGGAAGGUUGCCCCUGCUCUGGCAGCUGGUUGUGCUGCGAUAUUGAAGCCUUCCGAAUUGGCAUCUGUGACAUGUUUGGAGUUGGUUGACAUAUGCAAAGAAGUGGGCCUUCCUCUGGGUAUACUAAAUAUUCUCUUUAUGUAUAAUAGAUUAGAAAUAAAUCUAGUAACUGAAGAACAAUGAAUAUACGAGAAGCUCGUACACCAUACGUCUAAGAUGAAACGCAUUGGAAUUGAUACUGAAGCACUCAAAGAGCACUUUGGGAAGAAAAUUAUGGAGCUUGAGGAGGAAAAAAGAAAAGUGCAUCUUUGGACAUAGUUAGGUUUAAAUACCUUUUAGAUAGCACACAAACGAAAAGUUUUUUCUGGUUUGGUUUAUUUUUUGUCUACAUUUUUUGUGUAACUUGUUUUCAAAAUUUUGUAAAAAGGAAGUCGUGAAAAUAAGAAAUGAAGACAGUAAACAGUAUUUUUCUUAUGUUUAUGUUUUUUUUUCACAAUUAUGAAAACAAAAACAUAAGAAUGAAAACAAGGAAUCAAAAUACUGUUUACAGAAAUCUCAAGAUGUUCAUGGCCAAAAAUUGAAAGCACUGGAAGCACAGAUUUUAGACCUCAAGAAGAAACAAGAAAACCAGGUGCAGCUACUAAAGCAAAAGGAUAAGAGCGAAAAAACUACAAAAAAAUUGCAAGCUGAAAUAUAGUACAUCAAGGCUCAAAAGGUCCAAUUGCAGUAUAAAAUGAAGCAAGAGGCAGAACAAUUUCGACAAUGGAAGGCUUCUCAAGAAAAGGAGUUACUUCAGCUGAAAAGAUUUGCUUGGAGAGAACUGCAAAUAGCUACAGACAACUUUAGUGAGAGAAAUGUUUUAGGACAGGGAAGCUUUCGGAAGGUUUAUAAAGGAGUUCUACCCGAUGGCACAAAAAUUGCUGUUAAAAGGUUAACCAGUUAUGAAAGUCUCGGUGGAGAUGCUGUUAAAAUGUUAUAGUGAACUUUGCUGCUUAAUUAAUACGUAGAAUAAUGUGCUUAUAUAUAUUUGGUUGGUUUCUGAGAGUAUAAGCAGGAACUGUCCCACUAUGGUCAAAAGAUCAACAUCAUCCUUAGCAA
This is a non-coding RNA of Arachis ipaensis, 1489 nucleotides long. Lineage: Eukaryota; Viridiplantae; Streptophyta; Magnoliopsida; Fabales; Fabaceae. The record is from RefSeq and is a predicted model, not a curated record.